RNAcentral lists this ribosomal RNA (324 nucleotides) under uncultured bacterium. Its description in RNAcentral is "bacterial SSU rRNA". It matches the Rfam family "Bacterial small subunit ribosomal RNA", at positions 8 to 334 of the family's 1533-position model. The record is from RNAcentral.
AGGGUUUGAUUAUGGCUCAGGAUGAACGCUGGCGGCGCGCCUAACACAUGCAAGUCGAACGGCACCCCUCCUCGGAGGGAAGCGAGUGGCGAACGGCUGAGUAACACGUGACCAACCUGCCCGGCUCUCGGGGAUAGUCGCGGGAAACCGCGGGUAAUACCCGGCGAACCCGCCCGGACGCAUGUCCGGGCGGGCGAAGCUUUCGCGGAGCCGGAUGGGGUCGCGGCCCAUCAGGUAGACGGCGGGGUGACGGCCCACCGUGCCUACAACGGGUAGCCGGGUUGAGAGACCGACCGGCCAGAUUGGGACUGAGACACGGCCCAG